ACUUAAAUAAUUUAAAAUUAAAAUAUUGAUUUGUGGAAUCAAAUAUAUGAUAUAUUCAUUUUAGGUC
Molecule: transfer RNA, 67 nt
Filed under: Limenitis populi (poplar admiral)
Lineage: Eukaryota; Metazoa; Arthropoda; Insecta; Lepidoptera; Nymphalidae
Description: tRNA-His
Source: RNAcentral